Molecule: ribosomal RNA, 157 nt
Filed under: Coprinopsis laanii
Lineage: Eukaryota; Fungi; Basidiomycota; Agaricomycetes; Agaricales; Psathyrellaceae
Also listed under: 1 other name
Description: 5.8S ribosomal RNA
Rfam family: 5.8S ribosomal RNA
About the family: 5.8S ribosomal RNA (5.8S rRNA) is a component of the large subunit of the eukaryotic ribosome. It is transcribed by RNA polymerase I as part of the 45S precursor that also contains 18S and 28S rRNA. Functionally, it is thought that 5.8S rRNA may be involved in ribosome translocation.
Source: RNAcentral
AACUUUCAGCAACGGAUCUCUUGGCUCUCGCAUCGAUGAAGAACGCAGCGAAAUGCGAUAAGUAAUGUGAAUUGCAGAAUUCAGUGAAUCAUCGAAUCUUUGAACGCACCUUGCGCUCCUUGGUAUUCUGAGGAGCAUGCCUGUUUGAGUGUCAUUA